CCUACGGGGGGCAGCAGUGAGGAAUAUUGGUCAAUGGACGAGAGUCUGAACCAGCCAAGUAGCGUGAAGGAUGACUGCCCUAUGGGUUGUAAACUUCUUUUAUAUGGGAAUAAAACGUUCCACGUGUGGGAUUUUGUAUGUACCAUAUGAAUAAGGAUCGGCUAACUCCGUGCCAGCAGCCGCGGUAAUACGGAGGAUCCGAGCGUUAUCCGGAUUUAUUGGGUUUAAAGGGAGCGUAGGGGGAUUGUUAAGUCAGUUGUGAAAGUUUGCGGCUCAACCGUAAAAUUGCAGUUGAAACUGGCAGUCUUGAGUACAGUAGAGGUGGGCGGAAUUCGUGGUGUAGCGGUGAAAUGCUUAGAUAUCACGAAGAACUCCGAUUGCGAAGGCAGUUCACUGGACUGCAACUGACACUGAGGCUCGAAAGUGUGGGUAUCAAACAGGAUUAGAUACCCUAGUAGUC
This 460-nucleotide ribosomal RNA is filed under the name uncultured bacterium. Its description in RNAcentral is "partial 16S ribosomal RNA". It matches the Rfam family "Bacterial small subunit ribosomal RNA", at positions 338 to 795 of the family's 1533-position model. The record is from RNAcentral.